CACGCCCUAAACGAUGCUCACUAGGUGUUGGGGAAGCGAUUCCUUGGUACCGUAGCUAACGCGUGAAGUGAGCCGCCUGGGGAGUACGGCCGCAAGGUUAAAACUCAAAGGAAUUGACGGGGACCCGCACAAGCGGUGGAUGAUGUGGAUUAAUUCGAUGCAACGCGAACAACCUUACCUACCCUUGACAUGUCCGGAAGCCUGCUGAAAGGCGGGGGUGCCCGAAAGGGAACCGGAACACAGGUGC
Molecule: ribosomal RNA, 247 nt
Filed under: uncultured beta proteobacterium
Lineage: Bacteria; Pseudomonadati; Pseudomonadota; Betaproteobacteria
Description: partial 16S ribosomal RNA
Rfam family: Bacterial small subunit ribosomal RNA
Source: RNAcentral